Molecule: long non-coding RNA, 1266 nt
Organism: Triticum dicoccoides
Lineage: Eukaryota; Viridiplantae; Streptophyta; Magnoliopsida; Poales; Poaceae
Exons: 7
Source: RefSeq, a predicted model, not a curated record
GCUCUGCUGGGGGAAUGAGGUGCUCCGGAAGAGGAUACAGCCCGGCGAUACUGAGGCUGAGGUCAGCCUAGAGAUGCGCAUGCGUAUCAAAAGAUGACGAGCGUGGCAAUCUCGGCGGGCUCGCUAAAGUCAGGGGAAGGAGAGAAACAAUGGGGAAGGGAGCAUAACAUGGAUGUGGGGCAGGAGGGGCCGUGGUCGGAGCUGCAUUGCGUGGGCAUAUUGGGUAUUAUUUGAGCUGAUACUCCAUUUUCUUACAAGAGAUGUGGUCCCGUCGAUGUUGGCUGUCGAAUUUGUGCUGCAGUCCAUGCCCACCACGUCCGAGUCUUCGCCCCUUCGUCAUCCAACACGAACAACAGAACAAAGUAGCAGUCAUGAUUUGCCAGGUUGGAGAACUAACGCAGCUUGCUGCCACGGAGUGCUCACCCUUCUUCUGUGCCAUAAAGCCCCUCGGUCGAAACUUGCAAAUAAAAAUUGCUGACCUUGUCAAUCUCGCUGGAACGACGUCUAGCUCAUUGUGCUCUACUCACUAUAACUAACUGCAUAUCUCAUAACUAAAGCCAUGAACAAGUGCUUCAGUUAUGCUGGUGGCAAUACAUUGCUUGAGGUGACCUCAUGUGCAAGAUUAUCCCCAUGGAGGGAGCUGGCACGGAGACAUUUGCUCACAUCAGUACUAUGAGCAGCCUGGUUGGGUGGUGACGUUUCCGAGUGGCCAAGCAAGAGCUUUUUUUGGUCUACACCUAUGCAGUGGUGACUUCUGCUACAAUGUGCAUCAACACCAGAACCAUGUUCCCGAUCAUGGACGCUGUUGUGUCCCUCACCGGCUCUCUCCUUGCCAUCACCGAGGGGGGUUGUGCAGGCCACUACUCGCGCAACUACUUUGAAGUGUGGAGCAUGCCAUUGAGAUAGACCAAAAGAAGAACAUCGCCGACAACAACACCAAUGGGGGCCUCCCUGGUUGCCACCACCGCCGCUGCCGUCGUCGCCCUCCCCGCUGCCCCACACCACACUGCCAGAUAGGUCUGUGUGCUUUUCCCUUGCCCCCUGCUUAUUGCACUCAGGAUGUGUUGGUGCCAUGCUUUGCCUAUAUGUGAUCUCCUAUUCUGUUGUAAAAUUCUUUUUGCUUAUGAUUUCUUACUGUAGUGUGAAAUUUUAAUUGCUUGGGUUGUUACUGCUAUGAAAAUAUAUUGCUAUAUUUAGGUUUGUUACUUUAGUCUCUCUUCCUCCCUUGUUUUAUAAUGGUAUGAAAUUCUAUUUUGCUGAAAGAUC